ACGCAGGCGGUCUGUCAAGUCGGAUGUGAAAUCCCCGGGCUCAACCUGGGAACUGCAUUCGAAACUGGCAGGCUAGAGUCUUGUAGAGGGGGGUAGAAUUCCAGGUGUAGCGGUGAAAUGCGUAGAGAUCUGGAGGAAUACCGGUGGCGAAGGCGGCCCCCUGGACAAAGACUGACGCUCAGGUGCGAAAGCGUGGGGAGCAAACAGGAUUAGAUACCCUGGUAGUCCACGCCGUAAACGAUGUCGAUUUGGAGGUUGUGCCCUUGAGGCGUGGCUUCCGGAGCUAACGCGUUAAAUCGACCGCCUGGGGAGUACGGCCGCAAGGUUAAAACUCAAAUGAAUUGACGGGGGCCCGCACAAGCGGUGGAGCAUGUGGUUUAAUUCGAUGCAACGCGAAGAACCUUACCUGGUCUUGACAUCCACAGAACUUUCCAGAGAUGGAUUGGUGCCUUCGGGAACUGUGAGACAGGUGCUGCAUGGCUGUCGUCAGCUCGUGUUGUGAAAUGUUGGGUUAAGUCCCGCAACGAGCGCAACCC
RNAcentral lists this ribosomal RNA (536 nucleotides) under Klebsiella pneumoniae. Its description in RNAcentral is "bacterial SSU rRNA". It matches the Rfam family "Bacterial small subunit ribosomal RNA", at positions 569 to 1104 of the family's 1533-position model. The record is from RNAcentral. Lineage: Bacteria; Pseudomonadati; Pseudomonadota; Gammaproteobacteria; Enterobacterales; Enterobacteriaceae.